Molecule: long non-coding RNA, 924 nt
Organism: Musa acuminata AAA Group (dessert banana)
Lineage: Eukaryota; Viridiplantae; Streptophyta; Magnoliopsida; Zingiberales; Musaceae
Exons: 2
Source: RefSeq, a predicted model, not a curated record
AUAACCUCGGAAAUAAAACUGCCUGCCUGCAUGAAUCCCUCGACCGAAGCCUCCGAUUUCUUCGGCUUCCGGUUGGAUGAUUCCCGUCCCCGAUCCCAACCCCAUCUUCUACGCCUGCGUCGCCCACGGCACCGCCAUCCUCGCCGAGCUCUCCACCGCCGAUCUCCCCCCGGACCUCGCCGCCCAGUGCCUCGCUUCCACCGCCACUACUCCCACACCACCGGCGGCCGGAUCUUGCCUUCCUCAUGAUCGACCCCCUUGUCUUCUUCGUCAUCUCCGAUAAGGCUAUCCUCGGCAAGCCCCACACCCUCCUCUUCCUCCGCCGCCUCCGCGAUGCCUUCUCCUCGUCGACCGCCCUCCGACGCCGCGCCGCGGCUGUGGGAGGCGACGGCUCCGACUCCCUCCCCCACCUCUGCCUCCAGGAGAAGAAAUGUGGGAAGGGGAAGCGUAAGAUGGUGAUUUCGGCCGGCAAUCGCGACAUUGUUGAUUCCGACCCUGGAAAUGGUGGGUCGAGAAUGGUGCAUAAAGUGUGGCGGCAGCACGUUCGGGCAAUAAUCCUCAUCGAUCUCGUGGUGUGUUGCCUCCUCCUAGGGGUUUGGGUAUCGAUCUGUAAGGGUUUUGAGUGCAUCACCAAAUGAAACCCACUUCGAUUCACUUGCCCCCGAUCUGUGUUCCGUUAUUGAGAGAACAUGGCGUAUGCUGGUGGUCCAGUGAGCUUCUCCAGGACAUACUUCGAGAUGUAUGCUGAAUGUAACGGAGGACUCAUUGCUUAUACUUCGAGGUACAAAUCCCAAGACUGUGAGUUGACCUACAUCUUAAGGUGAAUUAUUUUGCCUUUUGUUGACGUAAUCACAUGCUCCAUUUUUUUUCUUAAGAUAUCAAUUAUUUGAAUAAUUAAUAUCAAUUUAAAAUUGUUUACGAUAA